UGGAAACAUACAGCAGUGAGACAGGUGUUGCAUGGCUGUCGUCAGCUCGUGUCGUGAGAUGUUGGGUUAAGUCCCGCAACGAGCGCAACCCUCAUCCGAUGUUGCCAGCGUAAAGUCGGGGACUCUUCGGAAACUGCCCGUGCAAGCGGGAGGAAGGUGGGGAUGACGUCAAGUCAGCAUGGCCCUUACAUCUGGGGCUACACACAUGCUACAAUGGGCGUUAACAAAGGGCAGCAAGACCGCGAGGUCAAGCUAAUCUCAUAAAUACGUCCUCAGUUCGGAUUGCAGUCUGCAACUCGACUGCAUGAAGUUGGAAUCGCUAGUAACCGCAGGUCAGCUAUACUGCGGUGAAUACGUUCCCGGGCCUUGUACACACCGCCCGUCACGCCACCUGAAUUGUCUGCACCCGAAGCCGGUGGCCUAACCCGUAAGGGAAGGAGCCGUCGAAGGUGUGGGGAGUGAGGGGGACGAAGUCGUAACAAGGUAGCCGUAUCGGAAGG
Molecule: ribosomal RNA, 500 nt
Filed under: uncultured bacterium
Lineage: Bacteria
Description: bacterial SSU rRNA
Rfam family: Bacterial small subunit ribosomal RNA
Source: RNAcentral